Molecule: long non-coding RNA, 985 nt
Organism: Carassius auratus (goldfish)
Lineage: Eukaryota; Metazoa; Chordata; Actinopteri; Cypriniformes; Cyprinidae
Exons: 4
Source: RefSeq, a predicted model, not a curated record
AGAAGGGUCUGGCUGCAGACCAUGGGCGAGUGGAGCUCCACUCUCAAACCGGAAAUACGUCACCUCCACUUGAAAACAUCAAGAUGGCGUCGCCGGGAGUACUUCAAACUUAAACUCAGGGAUAGGAUUGGCAUGGAAGAUGCAGCACUCUUUACAUUUUAAAUAUCAAAUGUAUAUCAAGUGUUAUCCAUCCUCAUAACACCUCCACAAAUAGAGAGUGGAACUUCUGAGCACCAUCACCUUGUCUGCUUUGGGGCUGUCAUAGUUGAAUGAUGCAGUACUAUUCUGUGUUGAAUUUACCUAACGUCAGCACACAGACAUAGUAUUGUUCCAGUUUUGCUGUGCUCAUGUCUUCUUUGUGUCCCCAGCCCAGCAAUCAGAUGCAUCAGAACAACAAAGCACAACUGUGGUGGACCAGGCACCUUCAGCAACAAAGAUUUAACAACACUGUCAGUCAGGAGCAUAUUUAACAGGAGGCACACUUCAGCUGGCUCGAUGGUGACUUCAGUAAGUGUGGUCAACCCUAUUGUUUUUGUGGCUAUAACAAUUAGACUAAGUAAUCUCACUCUCUUCCAUUUCCUUAACAUUACCCUUUUUUUGUUGAUACUGAACCGGUGCAGUGAAGAAAUUUAAAGAGACACUAUCUAAAGUACAGAAAGCCGUACAUAAUCUCUAGGUGCAGUCGCCUACAGUGCAGCCAGCUUCACAAAGACUGUGGGGCUGGUCACCAGGAAAAUGGGCAACAAGGAGUGCUUUUGGGGUUUUACUCCUCAGAUAACCACCCUGGCUACUGUAGCUGGGAUUGCUUCACAGACAAUGGAGGUCUUGAAGAGUAAAGUGUGCGUGCAUGUGAACACAUUGUGUUAUUACAGUAACAAUUAUGGUCACUUGCAGUUCAUGUGUUUUCAAUGUAGUGUAAGAUGUGUUAAUUAUUAUUAUUACUCAAAAACCAUUAAAACUUCUAAAUUGUGGAAGUUAUUCUUCA